AGCUUCAGUAGCGUAUAUUAAAGUUGUUGCAGUUAAAAAGCUCGUAGUCGCAUUUCUGGCGAGAGGAUCCGGUCCGACCUUUUGGUGGGUUCUUGGGUCUCUUUCGCCAUCCUUGAGUGGUCCGUUCUGGCAUUAGGUUGUCGGAGCGUCAGCCGCUCAUCGUUUACUGUGAGAAAAUUAGAGUGUUCAAAGCAGGCUUAUGCCGUUGAAUAUAUUAGCAUGGAAUAAUAAGAUAGGACCUCGGUACUAGUUUGUUGGUUUGCGCACCAAGGUAAUGAUGAACAGGGACAGUUGGGAGUAUUUGUAUUUCGUUGUCAGAGGUGAAAUUCUUAGAUUUACGAAAGACAAACUACUGCGAAAGCAUUUACCAAGGAUGUUUUCA
RNAcentral lists this ribosomal RNA (382 nucleotides) under uncultured marine Chaetocerotaceae. Its description in RNAcentral is "SSU rRNA". It matches the Rfam family "Eukaryotic small subunit ribosomal RNA", at positions 587 to 972 of the family's 1831-position model. The record is from RNAcentral. Lineage: Eukaryota; Bacillariophyta; Thalassiosirophyceae; Chaetocerotales; Chaetocerotaceae.